Molecule: ribosomal RNA, 1626 nt
Filed under: Triticum aestivum (bread wheat)
Lineage: Eukaryota; Viridiplantae; Streptophyta; Magnoliopsida; Poales; Poaceae
Description: partial small subunit ribosomal RNA
Source: RNAcentral
AUGAGGGCGACGCGGCUCCUGGCGGCGGCGGCGCUCCUCGCCGCGCUGCUCGCGGUGUCCGCGGCGGCGGCGAAGCUCGAUCUGGACGAGGUGGACGACUCGGAGGUGCUGGAGGCGCUGCUGGCCGUGGACGAGGAGGAGGAGGAUGCGGCGCCGCCGGGCGGUGGCGGGGGCGCGGAGGCGGUGCGGCGGACGCAGUCCAUGGUGCUGGUGCUCGACAACGACAACGCGGCGCGCGCCGUGCGGGACCACCCGGAGCUGCUGCUCCUCGGCUACGCGCCCUGGUGCGAGCGCAGCGCCAAGCUCAUGCCGCGCUUCGCCGAGGCCGCCGCGGCGCUGCGCGCCAUGGGGAGCGCCGUCGCCUUCGCCAAGCUCGACGGGGAGCGGUUCCCCAAGGCCGCCUCCACCGUCGGGGUCAACGGCUUCCCCUCCGUGCUCCUCUUCGUCAACGGCACCGAGCACGCCUACACCGGCCUCCACACCAAGGACGCGAUAGUUACUUGGGUUAGAAAGAAGACCGGCACGCCAGUAAUUAGGAUUGAGUCGAAGGAUUCAGCUGAGGAACUUCUUAAGAAGGGCCAGACAUUUGCUCUUGGCUUAUUCAAGAAUUACGAGGGAACCGACCAUGAAGAAUUUAUGAAGGCAGCGACUGCUGAAAACGAAGUACAAUUUGUAGAGACCAAUGAUAGGAAUGUGGCCAAGAUUCUUUUUCCAGGGAUUGCAUCUGAAGAACAAUUCCUGGGCCUUGUGAAAAGCGAACCAGAGAAGUUCGAAAAGUUUGAUGGAGCAUUUGAAGAAAAGGAGAUAUUGCAGUUUGUGGAGCUUAACAAGUUCCCACUAAUUACUGUAUUCACUGAUUUAAACUCAGCUAAAGUCUAUUCAAGCCCAAUUAAGUUGCAGGUCUUCACCUUCGCAGAGGCUUAUGAUUUUGAAGAUCUUGAAUCUAUUGUUCAAGAGGUGGCCAGAGGAUUUAAGACAAAGAUAAUGUUUAUAUAUGUGGACACUGCUGAAGAAAACCUUGCAAAACCAUUCCUGACUCUUUAUGGCCUUGAAGGAGAUAAACCUACUGUUACAGCAUUUGAUACGAGCAAAGGUGCUAAAUAUGUGUUGGAGGCAGAUAUUAACGCGAAGAACCUAAAGGAGUUCUCCUUAAGCCUUUUGGAUGGUACACUGCCUCCAUACUUCCGCUCAGAACCAGUACCACAAGAAGAGGGACUUGUUGAAAAGGUUGUUGGACGUACAUUUGAUUCUUCUGUCCUGCAAAGCCCUCACAAUAUUCUCCUCGAGGCUCAUGCACCUUGGUGUGUUGACUGUGAAGCCAUCAGUAAAAACAUUGAGAAGUUGGCCAAGCAUUUCAGUGGUUUGGACAAUCUUAAAUUUGCACGCAUUGAUGCUUCGGUGAAUGAACAUCCAAAAUUGCAGGUAAACAAUUACCCCACACUCUUGCUUUAUCCUGCUGAAGACAAGACCAACCCGAUCAAACUUUCAAAGAAAUUAAGCCUGAAAGACAUGGCGAGAUUCCUCAAGGAGAAGCUGCAGAUUUCGGACGUCGAAAUUAAGGAGAAGCUCCAAACUCCUAACAUUGAAACAGUAGCUGCCGCUGACAAUGUCAAGGAUGAGCUAUAG